The sequence is a transfer RNA, 71 nucleotides long. It matches the Rfam family "tRNA". From Rfam's summary of the family: Transfer RNA (tRNA) molecules are approximately 80 nucleotides in length. Their secondary structure includes four short double-helical elements and three loops (D, anti-codon, and T loops). The record is from Rfam.
GGGGCCAUAGCUCAGGGGUAGAGCGGCUGCUUUGCAUGCAGUGUGCCCGGGUUCGAUUCCCGGUGGCUCCA